RNAcentral lists this ribosomal RNA (200 nucleotides) under uncultured bacterium. Its description in RNAcentral is "partial 16S ribosomal RNA". It matches the Rfam family "Bacterial small subunit ribosomal RNA", at positions 28 to 227 of the family's 1533-position model. The record is from RNAcentral.
GACGAACGCUGGCGGCGUGCUUAACACAUGCAAGUCGAGCGGUAAGGCCCUUUCGGGGGUACACGAGCGGCGAACGGGUGAGUAACACGUGGGUGACCUGCCCUCAGCUCUGGGAUAAGCCUGGGAAACCGGGUCUAAUACUGGAUAUGACUCCAUGACGCAUGUUGGUGGGGUAGGAAAGCCUUGUGCGGCUGAGGAGU